Molecule: ribosomal RNA, 471 nt
Filed under: uncultured bacterium
Lineage: Bacteria
Description: SSU rRNA
Rfam family: Bacterial small subunit ribosomal RNA
Source: RNAcentral
AGGACGAACGCUGGCGGCGUGCUUAACACAUGCAAGUCGAGCGGAAAGGCCCUUCGGGGUACUCGAGCGGCGAACGGGUGAGUAACACGUGAGUAACCUGCCCCAAACUUUGGGAUAACCCUCGGAAACGGGGGCUAAUACCGAAUAUUACUUCUGGUCGCAUGGCUGGUGGUGGAAAGUUUUUCGGUUUGGGAUGGACUCGCGGCCUAUCAGCUUGUUGGUGAGGUAAUGGCUCACCAAGGCGAGGACGGGUAGCCGGCCUGAGAGGGCGACCGGCCACACUGGGACUGAGACACGGCCCAGACUCCUACGGGAGGCAGCAGUGGGGAAUAUUGCACAAUGGGCGGAAGCCUGAUGCAGCGACGCCGCGUGAGGGAUGACGGCCUUCGGGUUGUAAACCUCUUUCAGCAGGGACGAAGCGCAAGUGACGGUACCUGCAGAGAAGCGCCGCAACUACGUGCCAGCAGCCGC